Molecule: long non-coding RNA, 503 nt
Organism: Cyprinus carpio (common carp)
Lineage: Eukaryota; Metazoa; Chordata; Actinopteri; Cypriniformes; Cyprinidae
Exons: 5
Source: RefSeq, a predicted model, not a curated record
CCCAAGAGCAUCAAUAACACAUGUAGAGAUGUGAAUGAAUGUGUUGAGAUAUCAGAUAUCUGUGGUCCAAACUCAAUCUGCAACAACACUGUUGGGAGUCACAAUUGCUGGUGCAUGAGUGGAUAUAAUGUAACAGACCCAAACCUCCCUAUAAACAGCAAUAACACAUGCAAAGAUAUAAAUGAAUGUCUAUUCAGUCCAUCUGUAUGUGGUCCAGAUUCCAACUGCACAAAUGAAAUUGGAAGUUAUAAUUGCUCAUGUCUGGAUGGAUUCACUGUAACAAACUCAAGUCUCUCCAUCAGCAUCAAUAACACAUGUAGAGACGUGAAUGAAUGUGUUGAGAUAUCAGACGUCUGUGGUCCAAACUCAAUCUGUAACAACACUGUUGGGAGUCACAAUUGCUGGUGCAUGAGUGGAUAUAAUGUAACAGACACAAACCUCCCUAUAAACAACAAUAACACAUGCAAAGAUAUAGAUGAAUGUCUGUUCAGUCCAUCUGUAUG